Molecule: transfer RNA, 83 nt
Filed under: Sphaerodactylus townsendi
Lineage: Eukaryota; Metazoa; Chordata; Lepidosauria; Squamata; Sphaerodactylidae
Description: tRNA-Val
Rfam family: tRNA (bases 12-80)
About the family: Transfer RNA (tRNA) molecules are approximately 80 nucleotides in length. Their secondary structure includes four short double-helical elements and three loops (D, anti-codon, and T loops).
Source: RNAcentral
UGUGGUAGGAAGGACCGUGGCUCAGUGGCAGAGCCGCUGCUUGACAUGCAGAAGUUCCCAGGUUCAAACCCCGGGCUCCACAG